CCACCGGCGGCAAGGCCCCGCGCAAGC
RNAcentral lists this non-coding RNA (27 nucleotides) under Cricetulus griseus (Chinese hamster). The record is from RNAcentral. Lineage: Eukaryota; Metazoa; Chordata; Mammalia; Rodentia; Cricetidae.